AUUGAACGCUGGCGGCAUGCCUUACACAUGCAAGUCGAACGGCAGCGGGCCUUCGGGUGCCGGCGAGUGGCGAACGGGUGAGUAAUGCAUCGGAACGUGCCAUUGAGUGGGGGAUAACGUAGCGAAAGUUACGCUAAUACCGCAUAUUCUGUGAGCAGGAAAGCAGGGGACCGCAAGGCCUUGCGCUCUUUGAGCGGCCGAUGUCAGAUUAGCUAGUUGGUGAGGUAAAGGCUUACCAAGGCGACGAUCUGUAGCGGGUCUGAGAGGAUGAUCCGCCACACUGGAACUGAGACACGGUCCAGACUCCUACGGGAGGCAGCAGUGGGGAAUUUUGGACAAUGGCGCAAGCCUGAUCCAGCCAUGCCGCGUGAGUGAAGAAGGC
Molecule: ribosomal RNA, 382 nt
Filed under: uncultured bacterium
Lineage: Bacteria
Description: bacterial SSU rRNA
Rfam family: Bacterial small subunit ribosomal RNA
Source: RNAcentral